RNAcentral lists this ribosomal RNA (253 nucleotides) under uncultured bacterium. RNAcentral describes it as "partial 16S ribosomal RNA". It matches the Rfam family "Bacterial small subunit ribosomal RNA", at positions 524 to 776 of the family's 1533-position model. The record is from RNAcentral.
UACGAAGGGGGCUAGCGUUGUUCGGAAUCACUGGGCGUAAAGGGCGCGUAGGCGGCUUUAUAAGUCGGGGGUGAAAGCCUGUGGCUCAACCACAGAAUUGCCUUCGAUACUGUAGAGCUUGAGACCGGAAGAGGUAAGUGGAACUGCGAGUGUAGAGGUGAAAUUCGUAGAUAUUCGCAAGAACACCAGUGGCGAAGGCGGCUUACUGGACCGGUAUUGACGCUGAGGCGCGAAAGCGUGGGGAGCGAACAGG